RNAcentral lists this ribosomal RNA (405 nucleotides) under uncultured prokaryote. RNAcentral describes it as "bacterial SSU rRNA". It matches the Rfam family "Bacterial small subunit ribosomal RNA", at positions 355 to 776 of the family's 1533-position model. The record is from RNAcentral. RNAcentral also lists the same sequence under 1 other name.
UGGGGAAUAUUGCACAAUGGGGGAAACCCUGAUGCAGCAACGCCGCGUGAGCGAAGAAGGCGGAAUCGUCGUAAAGCUCUGUCCUUGGGGAAGAAGAACUGACGGUACCCUUGGAGGAAGCCCCGGCUAAAUACGUGCCAGCAGCCGCGGUAAUACGUAUGGGGCAAGCGUUAUCCGGAAUUAUUGGGCGUAAAGAGUGCGUAGGCGGUUCUUUAAGCGAGGGGUUUAAGGCUAAGGCUUAACCAUAGUUCGCCCCUCGAACUGGGGGACUUGAGUGCAGGAGAGGAAAGCGGAAUUCCUAGUGUAGCGGUGAAAUGCGUAGAUAUUAGGAGGAACACCGGUGGCGAAGGCGGCUUUCUGGACUGUAACUGACGCUGAGGCACGAAAGCGUGGGGAGCAAACAGG